Molecule: ribosomal RNA, 1333 nt
Filed under: metagenome
Description: bacterial SSU rRNA
Rfam family: Archaeal small subunit ribosomal RNA
Source: RNAcentral
UGCCCUUAGGUCUGGAAUACGCUCGGGAAACUGAGUCUAAUACCGGAUAGAGGAUUACUACUGGAAGGUGUUUUCCUUUAAAGCUUCGGCGCCUAAGGAUGAGUUGGCGGCUGAUUAGAUUGUUGGUGAGGUAACGGCUCACCAAGUCUCAGAUCAGUAGGGGGAAUGAGAGUUCUAGCCCCGAGAAGGGCACUGAGAAACUGGCCCUAGCCCUAAGGGGUGCAGCAGGCGCGAAAACUUUCCAAUGCACGAAAGUGUGGGAAGGGAAUCCCAAGUGCUUCGUCAUUUAUGGCGAAGCUUUUGUUGAGUGUAAGACUCUCGACGAAUAAGUGGUGGGUAAGACGGGUGCCAGCCUCCGCGGUAAUACCCGCGCCACGAGUGGUGAUCAACUUUAUUGGGUCUAAAGCGUCCGUAGCAGGUCUUGUGUGUCUCUUGUGAAAUUGCUUCGCUUAACGGAGCAGCGCGCAAGGGAAACUACAAGACUUGAGACCGGGAGGAGAUAGGAGUAUUCCGAGGGGAGCGGUAAAAUGUGAUAAUCCUCGGAGGACUACCUGUGGCGAAGGCGCCUAUCUAGAACGGUUCUGACUGUGAGGGACGAAAGCUAGGGGAUCAAAACGGAUUAGAUACCCGAGUAGUCCUAGCUGUAAACGCUGCGAGCUGUGUGUUGCAUGAUCUUAGUGAUCGUGCAGUGCCUAAGCGAAGGUGUUAAGCUCGCCACCUGGGAAGUACGGUCGCAAGACUGAAACUUAAAAGAAUUGGCGGGAGCUCACUACAAGGAGUGAAGAGUGCGGUUUAAUUGGAUUCUACGCCGGAAAUCUCACCAGCGGCGACGGCAGGAUGAAGGUCAGAUUAAAGGUUUUACCUGACACGCCGAGAGAUGGUGCAUGGCCGACGCCAGCUCGUGCCGUGAGGUGUCACGUUAAGUCGUGCAACGAGCAAGACCCACAUCUACAUUUACCAACGGGCCGGUUUCGGUGACUGGGUACAAUGUAGAGACUGCCUGCGUAAGCAGGAGGAGGGUGUGGGCAACGUUAGGUCAGUAUGCCUCGAAUCCGCUGGGCUACACGCGCUCUGCAAUGGUAGGUACAAUAGGAUGCAACUCCGAAAGGAGAAGCAAAUCCCCCAAAGCCUAUCUUAGUCCCGAUUGAGGGCUGUAAUUCGCCCUCAUGAAGCCGGAAUUCCUAGUAAUUGGACUUCAUUACGGUCCAGUGAAUACGUCCCUGAGCUUUGCACACACUGCCCGUCAUUCCAGCCGAGCAGGGUCCAGAUGAAGUUUACUUUUUAGGUACGCUGAAUUUGGGCUCAGCAAGGAGGGACAAGUCGUCACAAGGUA